This 107-nucleotide small nuclear RNA is filed under the name Naja naja (Indian cobra). The record is from RNAcentral. Lineage: Eukaryota; Metazoa; Chordata; Lepidosauria; Squamata; Elapidae.
GUGCUCGCUUUGGCAGCACAUAUACUAAAAGCGGAACAAUACAGAGAAGAUUAGCAUGGCCCCUGUGCAAGGAUGACAUGCAUAUUCAUGAAGUGUUCCAUAUUUCA